Molecule: ribosomal RNA, 271 nt
Filed under: uncultured prokaryote
Description: partial 16S ribosomal RNA
Rfam family: Bacterial small subunit ribosomal RNA
Source: RNAcentral
UACGUAGGGUGCGAGCGUUGUCCGGAAUUAUUGGGCGUAAAGGGCUCGUAGGCGGUUUGUCGCGUCGGGAGUGAAAACUCAGGGCUUAACUCUGAGCUUGCUUCCGAUACGGGCAGACUGGAGGUAUGCAGGGGAGAACGGAAUUCCUGGUGUAGCGGUGAAAUGCGCAGAUAUCAGGAGGAACACCGGUGGCGAAGGCGGUUCUCUGGGCAUUACCUGACGCUGAGGAGCGAAAGUGUGGGGAGCGAACAGGAUUAGAUACCCCUGUAGU